Molecule: ribosomal RNA, 253 nt
Filed under: uncultured bacterium
Lineage: Bacteria
Description: partial 16S ribosomal RNA
Rfam family: Bacterial small subunit ribosomal RNA
Source: RNAcentral
UACGUAGGGGGCAAGCGUUAUCCGGAUUUACUGGGUGUAAAGGGGGCGCAGACGGCGAUGCAAGCCAGGAGUGAAAGCCCGGGGCCCAACCCCGGGACUGCUCUUGGAACUGCGUGGCUGGAGUGCAGGAGGGGCAGGCGGAAUUCCUGGUGUAGCGGUGAAAUGCGUAGAUAUCAGGAGGAACACCGGUGGCGACGGCGGCCUGCUGGACUGCAACUGACGUUGAGGCCCGAAAGCGUGGGGAGCAAACAGG